AUGGCGCAGAUUAUGAUUCAAGGACAAGGGGAAACUAGCUAUGCUCGCAACUCUAGUAUUCAGAAUGCUGAGCAGAAGAAGACGAAACCCUGGAUUGAAGCGGUCAUCGUUGAAUUAUGCAGUAGCACCGGCACCUUGCAGCCCGGCAAGAUGGUGAUCGCGGACUUGGGCUGCUCCACUGGUCCAAACGCACUUGCACUUGUAUCGAUCGCUGUUGAGGCGAUCCACGCUCAUUGUCUUCAGUUCCAGCAACUUCCACCGGAAUGUGUGGUCCUCAACGAUCUCCCGGAGAACAACUUCAACACAGUGGUGAAGAGCCGGAUCACGCUCCGUCAAAGCAAUGAUCCUGUUGUCAUGACCGGUAUCACACCAGGGUCGUUUUACGAGCGGCUCUUCACUACUGAAUCCUUGCAUCUUGUUUGCUUGUCCAAUAGCAUGCAUUGGCUCUCAAAGGCUCCAGAAGAUCUAACAAGGAAUCUCAUCCCAGCAUAUGACAUUGAUGAGCAUUCUAGGAGUGAAAGGCUUCCUAUAGUACUUGAGGCUUAUGCAAAACAGUACAGAAAAGAUUUCACGCUUUUUCUGGAGCUGAGAGCCAAAGAGUUGGUCUCAGGAGGCCGAAUGAUUGUUUCGCUGGUAGGGAGGCGUUCUGAUGCAAUGACCACCAAAUUCUCUUACAUAUUAGAAAUUGUAGCUCAGAUUCUAUGUGUCAUGGUCUCAGAGGGUGUGAUUGGCAAAGAAAAGUUUGAUUCCUUUUAUGGGCUAUUGUAUGAACCUUCAAGCGAAGAGCUGAGGGAGAUCAUCCAAGAAGGGGCCUCCUUUUCAAUCAGGGAGAUGCGGGCGCAUGACCCUAGAACCGAUAUGAACAAUGCUCUCAGCACCCCAGGCAGGUUCGCGGGAUUUCUGAGAGCUUUAUUUGAGCCGGUAUUGGUCCAACAUUUUGGAGAUGCCAUGGAUGAAUUUGUGAGGACUGCGGAGCGGCGGUGGAUCCUAGAGGGAAGCUUGCAAGAGGAGCGUGUUAGAUGUCCUUAUGCUAUGCUGGUUGUAUCCCUCACAAAGGCAUGA
Molecule: ribosomal RNA, 1062 nt
Filed under: Triticum aestivum (bread wheat)
Lineage: Eukaryota; Viridiplantae; Streptophyta; Magnoliopsida; Poales; Poaceae
Description: partial small subunit ribosomal RNA
Source: RNAcentral